UUAGGUAACUGCUCCCUCUAUAAAUAGCUCCCCUGUGCUUUUAGCACAGUACCUUUGGCUGCCCAAAAUACAAGGAACACCUUUUCCCCUUCUGCUCCUGUUGGCUUCGCAUUAAACAAAAAGUGAUGUGCUAGCCCUGCAUCCUACACCCUGCACCUUUAUUUCAUCUCUGAGAACCGUCGUGGCGGGUGUUCAUAAUAAAUGGCAAGAGUUGGACGGCCUCUCCCGAGGCAACCCUGUACAAAUUAAACACUAUUGUUGAAGAUGGUAGUGGUUCUACAAAUACCAUCUUCGGAAGAUUGGCACAAGAUUUGAUUCACAUCCCAGCUCAAAACUUAGCUACUUCAGUUGGUUCAGAUAAAUUUACUCUUCAUCCUCUAAUUAAAUUAAUUAUUGGACAAAAGUAUAUUUUUCAAAUUGUUCCUGAUCUACACAGGUUUAGAACAAGUGCUCCUUCUUUUAAAGUGCUUAAAAUUUUUAACGAAAAUGUAUUAAUCAAAAGUGAAAAGGAACUGCCUUCUCCUACUUCUCAAAAUGAAAUUUCCAAAGAAACAGUUGCAGACGGAUCACCAACCACAUGUACUUCAUCAAGCUCUCUAAUACUUGAUGGUGAUUUAAAUGCAAUUCGGACAGCGAAAAAACGACGACUUAUUUUAGAUGAAGCUCCCUCUACAGAUGAAGACAAAAUGUGAAGGAUUACAUUUAAUACUGCAUUUUGCUCUUGCAUUAUGCUGAAAUACUAUUUCCAAUAAUGUUGUAUCCCUACACUGUAUUGUACGUGCUGACGUGACGUUGUAUUAAAACUUUCUGCUAUCAUUUUAUCAAUACUACAUUUUAUUUUCCGUAUACCAUAAAUUUUUUCCUUAUUAUC
This is an RNA transcript of Ananas comosus (pineapple), 871 nucleotides long. RefSeq lists it as uncharacterized. Lineage: Eukaryota; Viridiplantae; Streptophyta; Magnoliopsida; Poales; Bromeliaceae. The record is from RefSeq and is a predicted model, not a curated record. The transcript has 6 exons.